This 22-nucleotide small nuclear RNA is filed under the name Arabidopsis thaliana (thale cress). RNAcentral describes it as "snRNA_06941". The record is from RNAcentral. Lineage: Eukaryota; Viridiplantae; Streptophyta; Magnoliopsida; Brassicales; Brassicaceae.
AGUUAGAAUAUGCGGUUACAAC